GUGGGGAAUAUUGGACAAUGGGCGAAAGCCUGAUCCAGCAAUGCCGCGUGAGUGAAGAAGGCCUUAGGGUUGUAAAGCUCUUUUACCCGGGAAGAUAAUGACUGUACCGGGAGAAUAAGCUCCGGCUAACUCCGUGCCAGCAGCCGCGGUAAUACGGAGGGAGCUAGCGUUGUUCGGAAUCACUGGGCGUAAAGCGCACGUAGGCGGCUUUGUAAGUUAGAGGUGAAAGCCCGGGGCUCAACUCCGGAACUGCCUUUAAGACUGCAUCGCUUGAAUCUGGGAGAGGUAAGUGGAAUUCCGAGUGUAGAGGUGAAAUUCGUAGAUAUUCGGAAGAACACCAGUGGCGAAGGCGGCUUACUGGACCAGAAUUGACGCUGAGGUGCGAAAGCGUGGGGAGCAAACAGGAUUAGAAACCCGGGUAGUCC
This 425-nucleotide ribosomal RNA is filed under the name uncultured bacterium. RNAcentral describes it as "partial 16S ribosomal RNA". It matches the Rfam family "Bacterial small subunit ribosomal RNA", at positions 354 to 796 of the family's 1533-position model. The record is from RNAcentral.